GGAGACACUGGUCACAGACUUGCCUGACUGGGUAACUGAGAUGGGACCCAGCAGUGAGCAACUUUCCGAGUUCUUCACUGCGGAGUCCUGUCUGGAAAGUGGCUGGAUCUCCAGGGUGGCCUGGAUUAUGAAAAACUAUCCACAGAGAGAACAUGGGAGAAAAGCUAUAACAAAGACCAAAGAACACAUCACACUUUACCAUCCAAACACCCAUCCACUUCCUGGGAUUGCUCAGUAAAAUCCCUGGCACUCUGGAAAAGGCCAAGACCAAGCAAAGACACAUCACAUUUGUCCUGACUGAAGUUGACCUCCUUGACUCCCUCUCCUCUGGACCUGUUCCUCCCACUAUGCUCCUGUCUCAUGGAAGACUCCAUCAGCUACUUCCAUGCUCACACAUGGGCCUGCCCUUCAACUCUCUCCCCCACCAAUCAAUCAGCCAAUCAAUCAAUCAUCAAGUUCUGUCUGUUUCACCUGCUGAAGACUUCCCCAUCCAUCCCUCCAUCCCUCCAUCCCUCCCUCCAUCCAUCCAUCCAUUCAUCCAUCCAUUAAUGAUACACCCACUUUUCUCCAGCCCACUGCUGCUGCCUUCACCCAGGCUGCCAGCACCUCCCCGCCUGGUGGCUGAGAUGGUCUCCUUACUGAUUUAUUGCUCUGCCGACCAGCCUCAGCUCACUAUCCCAACUCUACUCCCAUUCAUAGCCACAGUGGUUCUUUUGCAAUAUUGACUAGAUCAUGGUACUUCCUUGCUUACAACCAUUCAAAGGCCCUGUGGAGUUUAAAUCCUGAAGGGCAUGAUAUAACUGGACCCUUUGAGACUCAUCUCUUGCCAUUUUCAAUGUAAUUGCUUGUGCUGAGUCCUGUCUUCUCUCACCCUUUGCAUUUGCUAUCUUCUCUGUUGAGUGCUGACUCCACCACUGGCUACCUCCUUCUCCUCAGUUACUCAGAACUAAACUUUUAAGAGUACGUCCUCCAGGAAGCUUUCCCAGACCUUCCCUCCUCUGUCCUUCCAUAGCCUGCACCCAUUAUAGCUAAUGGGACCAUGAAAUCUGUUGUCAAAACUAGGACACCUAUGGAAGUGAAAGGGGGUGCUUGUACCUAUUAUGCAUGGACAACAGGUGUAAGCUAGGACUGACCCAGGCAAACCAGGGUGUAUGGUCACCUUAACCAUGGUAUUUAUUGCACUUUCCAAUUGCUUCCUAACUGGCCAGGGCUCCCCAUAACCUACCUGGCAGACUGCAAUUUCCCAGUUUUCAAUGUAGUUGCUUCCAUAGUGGGUAUUCAAUAUUUACUUGUACAUACAUGUGUAAAUGUAUGUAUGGCCUUACUGUCUAAUGGAGCUGGGUCUUGCUCUCUGAAAAAUCCCUUAGCCAUCACUAAUAGUACAGAAAAGGUGUGUACUAGAUUACCUAUCCAGCACCUCCAAAAUCCUGAAUUCUAAAGCACAUCUGGCUGAAAUAAAGCUGAUGGGUUGGUGCCCAAAGCGUGUUUCAUGGCAGAUAAGCACAUUAGAGUGUUAAGACAUAUUACAGGAUAAAUGGGUUCUGGGCCCAAAUAAGUCAUGGAAAUUAAGUUUAUACUUUUAUUGCAAAGAUCCUUUAAACACUGUGAAGUAAGUAGUGUUUCUCAAAUUUAGAGAGAACACAGAACCCAUCCCCCUUUCCUAUCCCGUAUCCUAGACUUCAUGUUCUGUGAAACCUACUUUGAGAAUCAGUAAAAUCAUAUUGCCCAGCCACCUCCAGGUACAACAGGUAAAAGUUUUGAGUCCCUAAAGAUCAGGGAUGUAUUUAUUUCUUCCUAUUUCCUAGACCAGGGCCUGGCAUACAGUCAAUGCUAAAUAACUGUUUGUUGCAUGUGGGCUGGUGUGUCAUGCAUUCAGCUGAGGACAGAAGAGCGCAGGGCAAGGGGGCCAUCCAGCCCUGCCAUACCAGCACUGCGGGUGACAGGAACAGGGAAGAUGCUGACUUGCCUGAAAAUGACAUGGGAAACGAUGAGGUUGGAGAAACUUCUCUUUGACACCCUGUCCCCCUGCUGCUGAGCAGUGUCCUCCUUGGCCUCCCCCUGUUCUGACCCCAUCUCCCAGAGUCCACUCAUGUAGGAUAUGGCUGUCUGCGUCUCUUCACCAAAGUACUAAGCUGAUGAGGCUUAGUCUCAAACAGCAGUUUACUCAGCUGCUUCCUGCUUACUAACACCCGUCUGGCCCCAAGGGAGAGCAGCUGGAGUGGCAGAAGACUGGGGGGCAGGGCUUAUUUUGAGCAGGAUCUUGCCCCUCUCCCUCCACCAUCAUAUUUCUCACUUAACCCAUUUGUGAGACUGGCCUGAUCUUGUACUAAAGCCAGAUGUUCUCCCCUUCACCCAAAGAGGACCUCACAGAUCAGCAUUCAGAAAAGAGGAGGCCCUCAGUCUUGAAACAUCAGGAAAGAAAAGCACAAACCCAACUUAAAACUACCCAAUAAUGGAGGAAAAAGAUGGCAAGCAGAAGUUAAAUCCAGCCGGUAGAGCAUGUUCAAAAAGUCUGUCCUGAAGAAUUUUUUGCAGUAACUGAUUUAUUUUUCUUCUUAGAUAUUAUUCCUUCUUUCAGAUUAAUUAUUUAGUAGAGAAUGACAAAGCUCCAUGAAGCUACAAGCUGACUCUCUUUUUUUCCCACUGUCCCUUUCCCAUCUAAAAGGUUGGGAGGGGGGAAAUUCCGGAAACACCACAGUGAAAUUUUUCAUUUGAGCCAAUGUGAGCUGUGAGUGAGUCCAGCUGGAGGGCCUGUCACCCGCAUUGCCGCUCUAAGCCAGUGGAAGGGCGCCCAAGGUGACUCUCACUCAUGGUCCUUUGCUCCUUCAAAGAAGACCUAUCCUUCUGGCUCCUUCUUGGCCUAACCUGCUGCUCCAGCAGGAACAGCAAGCAUGAGCCAGGGGUUUAGAAGCAGCAGAAGCCUCUGCAAUGACACAGGGCCAACGGCCUUCCAUUUGGCUUAGAAGCUCCUGCACCGGGUCUGGCAAGGUAUGCAACUGCCAUGAGAUGAAUAAGGGCAAUGUGCAGCCUCAUUGCUUCAGGUCAGGUUUUACCUCCCAGUAAGUUCAGUCUGGGCAGACUUUGUCACCAAAUAAAUUAGCAAGUGCUUUUGGGUUUUAAGCAGUUUAAAUACUGAAUGACUGAUGACAGCUUGUG
Molecule: long non-coding RNA, 3156 nt
Organism: Phyllostomus hastatus (greater spear-nosed bat)
Lineage: Eukaryota; Metazoa; Chordata; Mammalia; Chiroptera; Phyllostomidae
Exons: 3
Source: RefSeq, a predicted model, not a curated record